This is a long non-coding RNA of Triticum dicoccoides, 374 nucleotides long. RefSeq lists it as uncharacterized. Lineage: Eukaryota; Viridiplantae; Streptophyta; Magnoliopsida; Poales; Poaceae. The record is from RefSeq and is a predicted model, not a curated record. The transcript has 3 exons.
GCUUUCUUAUUGUGUAUUGAUGGAGCAACUAUUGUUACAGAUUCUGAGGUCCCUAUGUAUAUGGAUCGAUUGCGUCGGUCGUCGAUGAUUUUCUGCUGAGCAUAAUGGAAGACACAAGCAGCCGCUUGGAAGGACAUCUGGAAAAAAGGGCGCAGGGCGCGCUAUUAGAUGCCACCUCUCCCGUUUCAUAACUGCUACUAGGCCUAUCAAGGUUCGUGUGAGACGGUCCCUAUGAAGUACAUCGACAAGGCAGAUGAAUUACGCCAUUUAUUAGUAUGCUUAGUGAUUAUGGCUCCGUAGUUGGCUCUCCUUUAUUAUGUUCCUGUUCUUAUUACCUCCUCUUAUGUCUUCUCGCUUUUGUUUUGAACUUUAUG